AGGGCAGGGUUCACAGAGCUAUUUUCAGUUCUCUUGCAGGAUCUCCUUCCCAGCCUUCAGAAAUUGCCGGUCUGGGAGUUGGGGGCAAGGAGAAGAUCCUGCCCAGCAUCUGCAGCCCAUGAGAACUUCCUGCCACUGAUUGACAUGGUUGAAGUGCAUUCAGACAGGAACAUAAUCUCAUGCAAUUUAUUGCAGAAAAUGGUACAAAGGGCUGGGGCCUUGGGAGAGGCAGCAGAAGUCUCACAAGACCAGAGAAACAGCCUCAGAUCUUCCCUCUGGGGAAUCCAGACAAUAGCAACUGCCGGCUUUUUUCCACUGGAAUAUUACCACACGUGGCGAAAAAGAAACUAUUCUAAAGAGAGUGACCAAGAGGGAAGUAACAAUGCCUUUUAUGAUCUAGUCUCUGUAUUCACACAUGAUCACUUCUUCUUUAUUCUAUUGGUCAUACAAACCAAUCCAGACACACAGGGACUAACAAGGAUAUGAACACCAGCAGAUGAAGAUCAUCAGUACCAUCUUGGAGGCUGGCUACCACAACCGCCUCAGUUGUUUUAAUUUGCAUUUCUUUGAUUACUGGCCAGGUUGACUGUGUUUCCUCACAGUCUGUUUACUAACCAUGCUUCCUUUUAUGUGAGCCGCCUGUGUCCUUUGCCCAUUUAUGUUUUCAAAUGCCAAAAUAAGUUUCCUCUCUGUGGGAAUGAAUCAUCAAUUUUUUAAAUGUAUGGAGAGAAUGUUUUCUGCAGAAACAGCCUGGGGUUUCAGGAAGGCAGGCCCAGUUCAGGGGUGCCUUGGGAGCAAAGGUCCUGUCAUUCCAACACUAAGCAACCCAGUGAUUCCAUGGAAAGCAGAAAGAAGGACAUAAAGAAACGGAUACUUGGUGACAUCUUUGACUCACUGGAUCAAACCUUGCCUGAAGCUCACAUUUCUGAAAUUUCCAGAUACAAGAACAAAUACUUCCUCUUUAUUGUUUUACUAGAUUUGAGACAAGCUUUAAGUUUCUCAGACUCUUCCUCUUCCUAACAGAUUUAUCAGAAGCUGAAAGCUCUGAUCUUGUUGGGAUGCGGAUCGUGUCAGGAGAAGGCUUACUUUGCACGCUUUUCUUAGUCUGGUUGCCUAACUCAAGAACCUCGGCAUGGCUCUGUUACUUCUCUACUCAGACAAGCAUCCCUGCAGACACUCACUAGGCUAACUCUGUCUUUAUUUUUAGAAUUAGACCUUUACGAGAAGCACAGUUUUGUCUUCAGUUUCCUCUCCCCCCACCCGGAAUGGCCUGAGCCGAAGCCAGCUCCCUCCGAGAAGUCAUUACCGCCUGACUUGCGUUUGAUAUUUAGACACCUUGGUCACAACAUCUUGCAUUCUCUCGGGAUGCUGAUUUCUAACUGCUCUUUGGCCUUUCCUGCAUUGGUCCUCCUCAGGCAGGGGAUCCCUGCUCUUCUAUAUUGGUGAGAAAACCAAGGCUCAGAGAAACUGUGGAUUUUCUAAGGUUUCUUGAGGGCAGAGAGCAUGUUGCAGUCACCUCUGAACCUCCUUCUGCUGAAAGCAACCUACAGAUGCUGGCUCCCCGUCCCCUGUCCACCAUGAGUCAAAGCAAUGUGAGUCCCUCACCAGAUGCAACUGCCCAGUCUUGGACUUUCCAGUGACCAGAAUCAUGAGCCAAAUAAACCUCUUUUCUUUAU
RNAcentral lists this long non-coding RNA (1676 nucleotides) under Homo sapiens (human). RNAcentral describes it as "long non-coding RNA NONHSAT171707.1". The record is from RNAcentral. Lineage: Eukaryota; Metazoa; Chordata; Mammalia; Primates; Hominidae.